RNAcentral lists this ribosomal RNA (189 nucleotides) under Escherichia coli. Its description in RNAcentral is "partial 16S ribosomal RNA". It matches the Rfam family "Bacterial small subunit ribosomal RNA", at positions 1 to 183 of the family's 1533-position model. RNAcentral also lists the same sequence under 2 other names. The record is from RNAcentral. Lineage: Bacteria; Pseudomonadati; Pseudomonadota; Gammaproteobacteria; Enterobacterales; Enterobacteriaceae.
AAAUUGAAGAGUUUGAUCAUGGCUCAGAUUGAACGCUGGCGGCAGGCCUAACACAUGCAAGUCGAACGGUAACAGGAAACAGCUUGCUGUUUCGCUGACGAGUGGCGGACGGGUGAGUAAUGUCUGGGAAACUGCCUGAUGGAGGGGGAUAACUACUGGAAACGGUAGCUAAUACCGCAUAACGUCGCA